Molecule: non-coding RNA, 94 nt
Organism: Mycena epipterygia
Lineage: Eukaryota; Fungi; Basidiomycota; Agaricomycetes; Agaricales; Mycenaceae
Source: the annotation of a GenBank genome assembly
GCCUUCGUGGAUCAUGGAGAUUACCCCGCUUUUAUAGGUGGUGGGCAAACGCAUUUGUAACGAGGAGAAGGAGGUUCGAUUCCUCCCGGGGGCA